AUAUAAUACUAUCUUAUCUGCCGUUUAUAUAUUUACUAUUAUUUAAAAAUUUUAAAUUUAUUCUAAAUCUAUCAAAAUACUUUUUUAAAACUCUAUUCUAUUAAUAAAAUAAGUGCAACAAAAAAUAUUUUGAACUCCCAAUUUUUUUUUUGGAGAGAUAGACAACAUGCUAUCCAUUUCAUUUAUUUAAAAAAAUUAUAAUUCGAACUUGAAACUUCAGAUACCAACUAUCAAGCUCUCUUUGUUACUUACGCUUGAGACCGUUAAUAUAUUAAAUAUUUUUUUAUUUUUUAGAUCUGUAUUGUUCGUGCGAUGCACGAGGAGAUAGAACAGC
This 334-nucleotide long non-coding RNA is filed under the name Ananas comosus (pineapple). Its description in RNAcentral is "long non-coding RNA (ACOM_LNC024944)". The record is from RNAcentral. Lineage: Eukaryota; Viridiplantae; Streptophyta; Magnoliopsida; Poales; Bromeliaceae.